This 70-nucleotide transfer RNA is filed under the name Hydrogenophaga sp. RNAcentral's name for it is "tRNA-Asn". The record is from RNAcentral. Lineage: Bacteria; Pseudomonadati; Pseudomonadota; Betaproteobacteria; Burkholderiales; Comamonadaceae.
UCCCAGAUAAUCCGGUUUUUACUGACUGUUAAUCCGCAGGUCCCUGGUUCGAGUCCAGGUCGGGGAGCCA